Molecule: ribosomal RNA, 301 nt
Filed under: uncultured bacterium
Lineage: Bacteria
Description: partial 16S ribosomal RNA
Rfam family: Bacterial small subunit ribosomal RNA
Source: RNAcentral
CAGCAGCCGCGGUAAUACGUAGGGUGCAAGCGUUAAUCGGAAUUACUGUGCGUAAAGCGUGCGCAGGCGGUUAUAUAAGACAGAUGUGAAAUCCCCGGGCUCAACCUGGGAACUGCAUUUGUGACUGUAUAGCUAGAGUACGGCAGAGGGGGAUGGAAUUCCGCGUGUAGCAGUGAAAUGCGUAGAUAUGCGGAGGAACACCGAUGGCGAAGGCAAUCCCCUGGGCCUGUACUGACGCUCAUGCACGAAAGCGUGGGGAGCAAACAGGAUUAGAUACCCGCGUAGUCCUGUCCUUAUACAC